This 303-nucleotide ribosomal RNA is filed under the name uncultured bacterium. RNAcentral's name for it is "partial 16S ribosomal RNA". It matches the Rfam family "Bacterial small subunit ribosomal RNA", at positions 507 to 807 of the family's 1533-position model. The record is from RNAcentral.
AGCAGCAGCCGCGGUAAUACGUAGGGUCCGAGCGUUGUCCGGAAUUAUUGGGCGUAAAGGGCUCGUAGGCGGUUUGUUGCGUCGGGAGUGAAAACCAGGGGCUUAACUUCUGGCUUGCUUUCGAUACGGGCAGACUUGAGGCAUUCAGGGGAGAACGGAAUUCCUGGUGUAGCGGUGAAAUGCGCAGAUAUCAGGAGGAACACCGGUGGCGAAGGCGGUUCUCUGGGAAUGUUCUGACGCUGAGGAGCGAAAGUGUGGGGAGCGAACAGGAUUAGAGACCCCCGUAGUCCCUGUCUCUUAUAC